Molecule: long non-coding RNA, 340 nt
Filed under: Homo sapiens (human)
Lineage: Eukaryota; Metazoa; Chordata; Mammalia; Primates; Hominidae
Description: non-protein coding lnc-OR4M2-9:1
Source: RNAcentral
AAGAUCUCCUUGAAGGAAAAGCAGAGAGGAUAGUUUGUCAGAAUUGCAAAAUCACUGAAUUAGUGGAUACCUUCAAUGAUCCCUAAUUUACUAAUAAUUAAAAAAACAGUUCCUAAAAUGCAGCUUUUAUAUUUUGUCUAACAGGAAAUAAUUUGAGGCUAUUUUAGACGGGCUAAACUUAAACCUUUCCAUACUUGGCAAGGUUUAUUCUCUCUUCUAGAGUACAAGAGUUAACACUCCUACUCAAUAUCUCAUUUAACCUCGUUAAAUCCCUUCUAUUCACAUCAAACUCUCUUAAGCUACCAUUCAGUAAUUUAGAGUGGGGUUAUAAGAGAAAGAU